This 773-nucleotide ribosomal RNA is filed under the name Salmonella enterica subsp. enterica serovar Saintpaul. Its description in RNAcentral is "partial 23S ribosomal RNA". It matches the Rfam family "Bacterial large subunit ribosomal RNA", at positions 1 to 816 of the family's 2925-position model. The record is from RNAcentral. Lineage: Bacteria; Pseudomonadati; Pseudomonadota; Gammaproteobacteria; Enterobacterales; Enterobacteriaceae.
GGUUAAGCGACUAAGCGUACACGGUGGAUGCCCUGGCAGUCAGAGGCGAUGAAGGGCGUGCUAAUCUGCGAUAAGCGCCGGUAAGGUGAUAUGAACCGUUAUAACCGGCGAUACCCGAAUGGGGAAACCCAGUGUGAUUCGUCACACUAUCAUUAACUGAAUCCAUAGGUUAAUGAGGCGAACCGGGGGAACUGAAACAUCUAAGUACCCCGAGGAAAAGAAAUCAACCGAGAUUCCCCCAGUAGCGGCGAGCGAACGGGGAGGAGCCCAGAGCCUGAAUCAGCAUGUGUGUUAGUGGAAGCGUCUGGAAAGGCGCGCGAUACAGGGUGACAGCCCCGUACACAAAAGCGCAUGUGCUGUGAGCUCGAUGAGUAGGGCGGGACACGUGGUAUCCUGUCUGAAUAUGGGGGGACCAUCCUCCAAGGCUAAAUACUCCUGACUGACCGAUAGUGAACCAGUACCGUGAGGGAAAGGCGAAAAGAACCCCGGCGAGGGGAGUGAAAAAGAACCUGAAACCGUGUACGUACAAGCAGUGGGAGCCUCUUUUAUGGGGUGACUGCGUACCUUUUGUAUAAUGGGUCAGCGACUUAUAUUCUGUAGCAAGGUUAACCGUAUAGGGGAGCCGGAGGGAAACCGAGUCUUAACCGGGCGUUAAGUUGCAGGGUAUAGACCCGAAACCCGGUGAUCUAGCCAUGGGCAGGUUGAAGGUUGGGUAACACUAACUGGAGGACCGAACCGACUAAUGUUGAAAAAUUAGCGGAUGACCUGUGGCU